GACGAACGCUGGCGGCGUGCCUAAUACAUGCAGGUUGAGCGCUGAAGGUUGGUACUUGUACCAACUGGAUGAGCAGCGAACGGGUGAGUAACGCGUGGGGAAUCUGCCUUUGAGCGGGGGACAACAUUUGGAAACGAAUGCUAAUACCGCAUAAAAACUUUAAACACAAGUUUUAAGUUUGAAAGAUGCAAUUGCAUCACUCAAAGAUGAUCCCGCGUUGUAUUAGCUAGUUGGUGAGGUAAAGGCUCACCAAGGCGAUGAUACAUAGCCGACCUGGGAGGGUGAUCGGCCACAUUGGGACUGAGACACGGCCCAAACUCCUACGGGAGGCAGCAGUAGGGAAUCUUCGGCAAUGGACGAAAGUCUGACCGAGCAACGCCGCGUGAGUGAAGAAGGUUUUCGGAUCGUAAAACUCUGUUGGUAGAGAAGAACGUUGGUGAGAGUGGAAAGCUCAUCAAGUGACGGUAACUACCCAGAAAGGGACGGCUAACUACGUG
This 497-nucleotide ribosomal RNA is filed under the name uncultured bacterium. RNAcentral describes it as "partial 16S ribosomal RNA". It matches the Rfam family "Bacterial small subunit ribosomal RNA", at positions 28 to 507 of the family's 1533-position model. The record is from RNAcentral.